AGGGAAAGAGGGAGGCAUGCUUUACACAUGCAAGUCGAACGGUAACAGGCCGCAAGGUGCUGACGAGUGGCGAACGGGUGAGUAAUGCAUCGGAACGUGCCCAGUCGUGGGGGAUAACUACUCGAAAGAGUAGCUAAUACCGCAUACGAUCUAUGGAUGAAAGCGGGGGACCGUAAGGCCUCGCGCGAUUGGAGCGGCCGAUGUCAGAUUAGGUAGUUGGUGGGGUAAAGGCUCACCAAGCCAACGAUCUGUAGCUGGUCUGAGAGGACGACCAGCCACACUGGGACUGAGACACGGCCCAGACUCCUACGGGAGGCAGCAGUGGGGAAUUUUGGACAAUGGGCGCAAGCCUGAUCCAGCAAUGCCGCGUGCAGGAAGAAGGCCUUCGGGUUGUAAACUGCUUUUGUACGGAACGAAACGGCUCUGGUUAAUACCCGGGGCUAAUGACGGUACCGUAAGAAUAAGCACCGGCCAACUACGUG
This 482-nucleotide ribosomal RNA is filed under the name uncultured bacterium. RNAcentral describes it as "partial 16S ribosomal RNA". It matches the Rfam family "Bacterial small subunit ribosomal RNA", at positions 38 to 507 of the family's 1533-position model. The record is from RNAcentral.